GACGAACGCUGGCGGCGUGCUUAACACAUGCAAGUCGAACGGAAAGGCCCUGCUUUUGUGGGGUGCUCGAGUGGCGAACGGGUGAGUAACACGUGAGUAACCUGCCCUUGACUUUGGGAUAACUUCAGGAAACUGGGGCUAAUACCGGAUAGGAGCUCCUGCUGCAUGGUGGGGGUUGGAAAGUUUCGGCGGUUGGGGAUGGACUCGCGGCUUAUCAGCUUGUUGGUGGGGUAGUGGCUUACCAAGGCUUUGACGGGUAGCCGGCCUGAGAGGGUGACCGGCCACAUUGGGACUGAGGUACGGCCCAGACUCCUACGGGAGGCAGCAGUGGGGAAUAUUGCACAAUGGGCGGAAGCCUGAUGCAGCAACGCCGCGUGCGGGAUGACGGCCUUCGGGUUGUAAACCGCUUUCGCCUGGGACGAAGCGUGAGUGACGGUAAUGGGUAAAGAAGCACCGGCUAACUACGUG
This 468-nucleotide ribosomal RNA is filed under the name uncultured bacterium. RNAcentral's name for it is "partial 16S ribosomal RNA". It matches the Rfam family "Bacterial small subunit ribosomal RNA", at positions 28 to 507 of the family's 1533-position model. The record is from RNAcentral.